RNAcentral lists this ribosomal RNA (406 nucleotides) under uncultured bacterium. RNAcentral describes it as "partial 16S ribosomal RNA". It matches the Rfam family "Bacterial small subunit ribosomal RNA", at positions 30 to 526 of the family's 1533-position model. The record is from RNAcentral.
AUUGAACGCUGGCGGCAGGCCUAACACAUGCAAGUCGCACGAGUGGCGGACGGGUGAGUAAUGUCUGGGAAACUGCCUAACGGAGGGGGAUAACUACUGGAAACGGUAGCUAAUACCGCAUACCAUCGGAUGUGCCCAGAUGGGAUUAGCUAGUAGGUGGGGUAAAGGCUCACCUAGGCGACGAUCCCUAGCUGGUCUGAGAGGAUGACCAGCCACACUGGAACUGAGACACGGUCCAGACUCCUACGGGAGGCAGCAGUGGGGAAUAUUGCACAAUGGGCGAAAGCCUGAUGCAGCCAUGCCGCGUGUAUGAAGAAGGCCUUCGGGUUGUAAAGUACUUUCAGCGGGGAGGCGUUACCAACAGAAUAAGCACCGGCUAACUUCGUGCCAGCCGCCGCGGUAAUUC